This 126-nucleotide long non-coding RNA is filed under the name Chrysolophus pictus (golden pheasant). Its description in RNAcentral is "lncRNA (ENSCPIG00010008829.1)". The record is from RNAcentral. Lineage: Eukaryota; Metazoa; Chordata; Aves; Galliformes; Phasianidae.
UCCUCUCCAUGGCAGAUACAGCCCAUGCCAUCCACAAAUCUACCUGGACAUGACUGUAUCUCCAGCUUUGAAUUCCUAUCCAGAUCCUCUAAAGAAAUUGUUGCAUUACUGACAGCUGAUGCAUGA